RNAcentral lists this ribosomal RNA (1163 nucleotides) under Pseudoalteromonas sp. B62. RNAcentral's name for it is "bacterial SSU rRNA". It matches the Rfam family "Bacterial small subunit ribosomal RNA", at positions 28 to 1187 of the family's 1533-position model. The record is from RNAcentral. Lineage: Bacteria; Pseudomonadati; Pseudomonadota; Gammaproteobacteria; Alteromonadales; Pseudoalteromonadaceae.
AUUGAACGCUGGCGGCAGGCCUAACACAUGCAAGUCGAGCGGUAACAGAAAGUAGCUUGCUACUUUGCUGACGAGCGGCGGACGGGUGAGUAAUGCUUGGGAACAUGCCUUGAGGUGGGGGACAACAGUUGGAAACGACUGCUAAUACCGCAUAAUGUCUACGGACCAAAGGGGGCUUCGGCUCUCGCCUUUAGAUUGGCCCAAGUGGGAUUAGCUAGUUGGUGAGGUAAUGGCUCACCAAGGCGACGAUCCCUAGCUGGUUUGAGAGGAUGAUCAGCCACACUGGGACUGAGACACGGCCCAGACUCCUACGGGAGGCAGCAGUGGGGAAUAUUGCACAAUGGGCGCAAGCCUGAUGCAGCCAUGCCGCGUGUGUGAAGAAGGCCUUCGGGUUGUAAAGCACUUUCAGUCAGGAGGAAAGGUUAGUAGUUAAUACCUGCUAGCUGUGACGUUACUGACAGAAGAAGCACCGGCUAACUCCGUGCCAGCAGCCGCGGUAAUACGGAGGGUGCGAGCGUUAAUCGGAAUUACUGGGCGUAAAGCGUACGCAGGCGGUUUGUUAAGCGAGAUGUGAAAGCCCCGGGCUCAACCUGGGAACUGCAUUUCGAACUGGCAAACUAGAGUGUGAUAGAGGGUGGUAGAAUUUCAGGUGUAGCGGUGAAAUGCGUAGAGAUCUGAAGGAAUACCGAUGGCGAAGGCAGCCACCUGGGUCAACACUGACGCUCAUGUACGAAAGCGUGGGGAGCAAACGGGAUUAGAUACCCCGGUAGUCCACGCCGUAAACGAUGUCUACUAGAAGCUCGGAGCCUCGGUUCUGUUUUUCAAAGCUAACGCAUUAAGUAGACCGCCUGGGGAGUACGGCCGCAAGGUUAAAACUCAAAUGAAUUGACGGGGGCCCGCACAAGCGGUGGAGCAUGUGGUUUAAUUCGAUGCAACGCGAAGAACCUUACCUACACUUGACAUACAGAGAACUUACUAGAGAUAGUUUGGUGCCUUCGGGAACUCUGAUACAGGUGCUGCAUGGCUGUCGUCAGCUCGUGUUGUGAGAUGUUGGGUUAAGUCCCGCAACGAGCGCAACCCCUAUCCUUAGUUGCUAGCAGGUAAUGCUGAGAACUCUAAGGAGACUGCCGGUGAUAAACCGGAGGAAGGUGGGGACCACGUCA